RNAcentral lists this ribosomal RNA (270 nucleotides) under uncultured bacterium. RNAcentral describes it as "partial 16S ribosomal RNA". It matches the Rfam family "Bacterial small subunit ribosomal RNA", at positions 28 to 295 of the family's 1533-position model. The record is from RNAcentral.
GAUGAACGCUGGCGGCAUGCCUAAUACAUGCAAGUCGAACGAGAGGAAGGAAAGCUUGCUUUCCUGAAUCUAGUGGCGAACGGGUGAGUAACACGUAGGUAACCUGCCCAUGUGCCCGGGAUAACUUCUGGAAACGGAUGCUAAAACCGGAUAGGUAGCAGACAAGCAUUUGACUGCUAUUAAAGUGGCCUUGGCCAUGAACAUGGAUGGACCUGCGGUGCAUUAGCUGUGGUGAGUACGCCACCAGGCGACGAUGCAUAGCCGGCCUGA